UCACUCCAAUUAAACUUUAGGCUCCAGUCAGACCUUCAGCCAAAUGGAAAAAAAAACUAGGGGAUAAGGGAGGUAGCUGGAGCAAGAAAAUGUUAUUAGUUGAAACCUUAUGGGACCUUCCUCCCUUAGUGAGUCUGUUGGCUAAAGGUUCUCUGGCUUCGUGAAUUAGAAUUGGAUACUGUUUCCAAGUUAGCAAAACCAACUCUACCCCAGCACCCCACGAGGAAGAAUGUGGAAGGAUCUCCCAUUGGCCGGUUGGGGCAAAAGCCUGAGGCAAUCUUUCAUCCCCUUUUGCCAAGGCGAGACUUUCCCAGUGACGGUGAUGUAGUUGGCCACUCUGUCUAGGGGAGUGUUGAGACUAUGGGUGGACUCGGGUGUAGACCUCUGAAGCUGAGAUCACACGAAAACCUGGCCUCCCCGCCAUGUAGCUGUUGGAGAGUAGAAAAAUAGAGCACGCCUGAUGUUUCUAAAUGAGAAGACUUUCAAUAGUAAUGAAGAAUCCAUGGCACUCUCCUCACCCUCAAACACAUGGCAGUCAUUCACAUACAGGCCCCAAAGCCACUGUUAGUGCUGCAGUAGCUCCUGUGGACAUUGGAAAGCCUGGAGAGGGCGUGGAAGAAAUCAGUUGGCCCCCGGCAGGUUCUCUGGGGUUUUGUGCCCUAAAAACUUUCAAAAGUUAACUCCCCACGUCCCCAUCCUGCUUGGGUUUCUGGACUUUUCUGAGGCACCGGCAGAGGGGUCUCGUUGCUCCCUUGAGUGUAGGGGCAGCCCUUUAACCUGGCUCCCUGAGUCCCUGCUUUUUCUGCCUCUGUUGUCUUCUUCCUCGUCUUCCUCUCUCUCAAUAUCUCCCUCUCUUUGUCCCUCCCCAGUUCCUGACCUGGCCCUCCCGGGGUGCCCUUGGCCAGCCCCGUGCCUCCUCAGGGUGUCCCAGCACCAGCCUGGCACAGAGUGGGGCUCAGUUAGAGUAUGUGGGAUGUUGGUUUCGCCAGGUGAGUGAAUGAAAGGACCCGACCACCACAGCUGAGCCACUAGCUGGGCCAUGCGAAGAGUUCUAGGUGCAAAGGCUGGAGGGUGGAAUUCAUUUUUGAGAGGUGUGUGAGCAGCUUCCGACCCCUGCCCCAUCUGAACGGGGGCCUUGCUGGUCGCGUCCCUGCAUUCACCCGCGCGGCCAUCCCGUCAUCCAACAGUUGAUCCUAACUGAGCACGCCCACGGCCCUGGUCUGGCCUGGGCACCGGCCACCGUAGCCCAUCCCUUGAUGGCCUCUGUGUCCCCAGGAGGGCGGGCCGGGGGGUUGCCCAGGGGCUGGAGCAGUGGACUGUGGCUCCACAGAGGUAGGCCGGAGGGUGUGAGGGCAGAUUCAAGCUAUCCCCAGGGCUCUGCUCUGGUCGGAGCCAGCCCCUUCUCCCUCUCUGCCUUCCCCGCCCCAUUCCUGAUGCUGAACUGUUCUGGACCCCUGGCCCUGAGUCUCUCAGGACCAAAGUGGGCACGGGAACAGCUGUAGUGUGUGCCCCCCGGGCUUUGGCCACAGGUCUCCCUCUCGAGGUGUGGUUGUGACUGCGACCCUUCCCUUGCCGUGAUGCCUUCCUCCCCCGGGGCUUGGUCCAGCUCCUUCACUCUCUAGCAGCUGCUGGGGCCCACCUCCCAUGCCGAGGACCAGCAGGGGAAACCUCCAGGGAGCAUCUGCAGGCUCUGCUUCUGCCCGGCUGCUGGCUUGCUCUCCCUGGUGGCUCUCCAGUGGCCAGCUUCCUCACCCACCCGGCACUCCGCUUUGCUCUGUCUCCUGAGGUGGGCCUGACCAACCUCCCCUUCUCUGCCUCAAUCCCUGGGCUCCAGGGCUCAGCUCCACAGCCCUCUGCCUAGCAGGCUGGUUCUCCCUGCCAAGCCCAUACCUGUGGUCACCUGGCCCUCCUGUGGUCUGAGUACCACUCCCCUGCCCCAGGAGCCACUCCCACUCCAGCUGCCUGUUUCCAGCAGGUUCCCAGUGCCCCCGACAAGCCCCUGCUGGUGUCUCCAUCUCCUGCCAAGCAUCCUCCAGUGCCUCCUCCUGUGGGCCUGGCCUCAGGGCUAUGGACAGACUCCUGUCCCAUCCCAGAGACCCCUCGUGAUCGUGCCCUGGUGGGUGUUGCCCCCGCCUGCCUUUGCCUCCGCCGUGGCCCUGAGAGUCCUGGGCUCUGCCCCGCCCGGUCCCUUGCUCCCCACUCAGUUCUGGGUUUGGGGCUGCCCCUAACCCAGCCCGUUGCUGCUUUGCACCUUUUCCUGUCAUUGGGCAUCCCCCAGUAGUCACCCCACUCCACCGAAAAGCAAACUGCAGGCACGUGGGCCGUGGCCCGGCUGGGUCGGCUGAAGAACUGCGGAUGGAAGCUGCGGAAGAGGCCCUGAUGGGGCCCACCAUCCCGGACCCAAGUCUUCUUCCUGGCGGGCCUCUCGUCUCCUUCCUGGUUUGGGCGGAAGCCAUCACCUGGAUGCCUACGUGGGAAGGGACCUCGAAUGUGGGACCCCAGCCCCUCUCCAGCUCGAAAUCCCUCCACAGCCACGGGGACGCCCUGCACCUAUUCCCACGGGACAGGCUGGACCCAGAGACUCUGGACCCGGGGCCUCCCCUUGAGUAGAGACCCGCCCUCUGACUGAUGGACGCCGCUGACCUGGGGUCAGACCCGUGGGCUGGACCCCUGCCCACCCCGCAGGAACCCUGAGGCCUAGGGGAGCUGUUGAGCCUUCGGUGUCUGCAUGUGGGAAGUGGGCUCCUUCACCUACCUCACAGGGCUGUUGUGAGGGGCGCUGUGAUGCGGUUCCAAAGCACAGGGCUUGGCGCACCCCACUGUGCUCUCAAUAAAUGUGUUUCCUGUCUUAAC
RNAcentral lists this long non-coding RNA (2853 nucleotides) under Pan troglodytes (chimpanzee). RNAcentral's name for it is "lincRNA". Lineage: Eukaryota; Metazoa; Chordata; Mammalia; Primates; Hominidae. The record is from RNAcentral.